RNAcentral lists this transfer RNA (74 nucleotides) under Runella slithyformis DSM 19594. RNAcentral's name for it is "tRNA-Trp". It matches the Rfam family "tRNA". Rfam says of the family: Transfer RNA (tRNA) molecules are approximately 80 nucleotides in length. RNAcentral also lists the same sequence under 2 other names. Lineage: Bacteria; Pseudomonadati; Bacteroidota; Cytophagia; Cytophagales; Spirosomataceae. The record is from RNAcentral.
ACGGGCAUAGUUUAAAGGUAGAACUACGGUCUCCAAAACCGUCGGUCUGGGUUCGAGUCCUGGUGCCCGUGCUA